CACUACUUUUGCCAUUUUUUUUUAUACACUGAAGAAAAAUAUUAACCUUACAUUUUUACUGAGUUACCAUUCAUUUAAGGAAAUCAGUCAAUUGAAAUAAAUUCAUUAGGCCCUAAUCUAUGGAUUUCACAUGACUGGGCAGGGUUGCAGUCAUGGUUGGUAAUAGGCUGGCAUGGUUACACGUGGUCUGCGGUUGAGGCCAGUUGGAAGUACUGCCAAAUUCUAUAAAACAAUGUUGGAGGCGGCUUAUGGUAGAGUAAUGAACAUUCAAUUCUCCGGUGGACAUUCCUCCAGUCAGCAUGCCAAUUGCACGCUCCCUCAAAACUUGGUGUUGUGUGACAAAACUGCACAUUUUAGUUGCCUUUCAUUAUAUUGACAGGUGUGUGCCUUUCCAAAACCAUGUCCAAUCAAUUGAAUUUACCACAGGUGGACUCCAAGUUGUAGAAACAUUUCAAGGAUGUUAAAUGGAAACAGGAUGCACCUGAGCACAAUUUGAGUCCCAUAGCAAAGAGUGAAUACCUAUGUGUAUAAAGGUCUUUGUGUUUUCUUUUAAUACAUUUGCAACAAUGUCUAAACCUGUUUUUGCUUUGUCAUUGUGUAACAAAAAAAAUCUAAUGAAUGUAAUCCAUUUUAGAAUAAGGCUAACGUAACAAAAUGUCAAGAGGUCUGAACUUUCACAAGGCACUGAGAUAUAUAUAUCAUUUUUUCAGUCUGAUUUUUCAGGGGGUGCUGUAGCACCCCCUACUUCCUGUGGGUAUGAUUGCUGAUGCUAUGUAUUGGCCAUUGAGAGACUGAAGUCAUGGUUGGCCAUAUAGAGCCCCAGAGUAUGAGUUAUAAUACCCAUAAAACCUAGCAGGGAAAUGGUUCCAAUCGUUUUUCCGCCAUAGAUUUCUCCCAUGGUGGAUUUUUAGAAACACGUCAAAUAAGGGCUGUGUUUUGUGCAGGCUUACCCUGGCGUGACGUUUUGAUAACGGUGUAAAUCUCUCUGACCGACCACUAGGUUUUAUGGGUAUUAUGACUCAUACUGUGGUACUCUAUUGGCUCUCCCCAGUAGGAGCAGUCCUCCAUAGGAAUACAUGGAAUUCUACAGUGUUUCAAGGACAAUUGCAUGUAUUUAAGUAUUUUUUGUUUUAAUGGGGACAGUAACAUUCAUCUCAAAAGUAUACUUCAUUUUGUUUUACACAUAAUAUACAUGUAAAAGUACGCAUUAAGGUGUCUGUAAUAGAAUAAACAUGGCUAAAACUAAUGUCGACAUUAAUAGAAAUGCAAUAUUUUGGUGGGGGAGUGACAAGAUGGAGGCAUGGUGGCUUCAACAUAGCGUCCCAUAUGUCAUCCUGUGUGCAGAAAAUCAUUGAUUGCCUGUAUGUGAGGUGUAGCAGGGUCACGUCAGAGCAGGUAUCAUCAUAUCUACCUGUAUGUGAGGUGUAGCAGGGUCACGUCAGAGCAGGUAUCAUCAUAUCUACCUGUAUGUGAGGUGUAGCUGGGUCACGUCAGAGCAGGUAUCAUCAUAUCUACCUGUAUGUGAGGUGUAGCAGGGUCACGUCAGAGCAGGUAUCAUCAUAUCUACCUGUAUGUGAGGUGUAGCUGGG
Long non-coding RNA from Oncorhynchus tshawytscha (Chinook salmon), 1589 nucleotides. Lineage: Eukaryota; Metazoa; Chordata; Actinopteri; Salmoniformes; Salmonidae. The record is from Ensembl.